RNAcentral lists this transfer RNA (65 nucleotides) under Channa gachua (dwarf snakehead). RNAcentral's name for it is "tRNA-Cys". It matches the Rfam family "tRNA". Rfam says of the family: Transfer RNA (tRNA) molecules are approximately 80 nucleotides in length. Their secondary structure includes four short double-helical elements and three loops (D, anti-codon, and T loops). Further hydrogen bonds mediate the characteristic L-shaped molecular structure. tRNAs have two regions of fundamental functional importance: the anti-codon, which is responsible for specific mRNA codon recognition, and the 3' end, to which the tRNAs corresponding amino acid is attached (by aminoacyl-tRNA synthetases). tRNAs cope with the degeneracy of the genetic code in two manners: having more than one tRNA (with a specific anti-codon) for a particular amino acid; and 'wobble' base-pairing, i.e. permitting non-standard base-pairing at the 3rd anti-codon position. Lineage: Eukaryota; Metazoa; Chordata; Actinopteri; Anabantiformes; Channidae. The record is from RNAcentral.
AGCCCUGAGGUGUCAUCACGUUAGAUUGCAAAUCUAAAGAAGCAGGUUAACGCUUGCCGGGGCUU